Molecule: long non-coding RNA, 6591 nt
Filed under: Sus scrofa (pig)
Lineage: Eukaryota; Metazoa; Chordata; Mammalia; Artiodactyla; Suidae
Description: lncRNA (ENSSSCG00015056785.1)
Source: RNAcentral
CAUGUUGCAGCAGAACAAAGGUUGGGGAAAAAAAUGUAUACAUGUAAGGAUAACUUGAUCCCCUUGCUGUACAGUGGAAAAUAAAAUAAAAAGAAAAAGAAAAAGUUUGUCUCCUCAUGCCUAGAAUCUAUAAAGCUACAAACAGUGGUGAUGUCUGGGCCACACUUAUAUCAGUCCCUGGGCCAAGAAGACCAGAAAAGUUGAUGCUUCCUCCAAAAAUGUGAAAAAGCAUCAAGAGGGGGGAAUGUAGGAGAAAACAUCCCAAUAAAAAUAUAGAAAGAGAGACCCUGGCCAUGAUGCCUAAGCAAAGUCUAACCAACUGCCCCAACCCUCCCUCCUCCACACAUGUGCUUCUGUAAAUUUGUUUCCACAUCUACUACCUUGCCUGACAUCACUCAGGUCCAACUAGCCAAGCAUGGACACAGAAGAGGUAGCCCAUAAGAGCCUUGUGAAACCCUUCUUCAGGGCUCAGACUCUGGAGAUCGAUCUCCUCUGAGCCUGCCAGUGUAAUAAACCUGAGUUCUCCAACUCUCCGAGUGCUCGCUUGGUGUCUUGCCAGGUAAAAGAGCUGAUCCACUGCAGCCACAGAGGUGCUGGAGCUAGUAUGCUACAGCCACAGGGCUGUCACCAGAGCUGAUAUGCUGUGGCGCAGGGAGUCUGGGUAGCUGAGGUAAAAUGAUUAGUAUUUAAAUACGUCAAAAAAAGAAAGAAAGAGAAUUCUUUUCAGGUGACCAGACACCACUGAUCAAAUGCAGUAGAUAUAAAGUGAGACAAGGUGAAAAUGAAACUGAUCUCUGAAGUGAAAAAAGGAUAAGGAGAAGAGCUAUAUUUGGGGGGUACUCAAUGGUAGCAACUCAAUGCACUACAAUGAUUAAAGUCCAACCUAUAGUCAUGGUCACUGUCUAUCUGUGUUACCAGUUUAUAAUCUUUCUCUUCUUUGGAUUAAUAUUCCUCAGUCUUCUCAUUCAUCUGCUUUCAUUUCUCCCUAAAAUACUCAAGUACUUUUCUCAUUAACCUCACAACUCCCAAGUUAUUUACCAUAUCACUGGGUCAUAUGCCCUUCUAGCAUCACUCUUCCUCUUGAGCUCUAGCUUCACUGACCUAUUUUCUGCUUCCUAGAAUGAGAUAAGAUUCCUCACACCACAGACUUUUCCACAUGCUAUUCCCCUUGCCUAUAACACUCUCCCCUUCUCUAGCCUCCCCUUCACCAAGUUAAUUUUUACUCUUCCUUUAGAAAUUAUGCCAGUAAUCAUGUCUUCAGGGAACCUGUCCUUCACCCAUUGUUCAGGUCGUAUCCACUUAUUUCAUCAUGUUGUUACAGCAUCAUGGACAUUUUCUUUAUUGUAUUCAUCUCAGGUAUAAGUUUACAUGCUGUUGUCAAUUUUUUUAAAUUUGUGUGAUAAUUUGAUUAUCGGUCUCUCCCAAUUGCAAACUCCAAGAGGAUAGGGUCUAUAUCUGCUUAAUUCAAAAUUAAUAUUAGCAGUAUUCUAAAAAACUUCUCUCUUGCCUAAGCAGAUCAGUAGUGUUUCUUGUUUUCUUUUGUUUUGUUUUACUCAUUAGCUGAAAACAUGUGCCAUUUCAUGCAUUUACAAACAAGUUCACAUCAAGGUGUUAUUUUAGAACAAAGAGUACAAAGAUAUAAAGCAAAAAAAAAAAAUCUAUGAACAAGAAAGUACUGAAGCUUAUCCACUACAUUUCCUUUUGCUCUCACCUCAUAAUCCUCACUGAACAUUCUGGUUCUGCUUAUUCUAAUAUUUGUGAGGUAGAAGAAGCAAAAUGAAAGGUUUUCCAAGGUUUUCUCCAAACAGCUAGUUUAUAGCCACACAACUUUGUUCAAAAAGUCCUUUGAAAAAAGCCUUCAUUGAGUUGCUGAUGCCUUUGCUACUGUGUGGGAAAUGAAUAUGUAGCUGAAAAAGUGCAUUAAACUACCUAGGGUGGUAUACAUUUCUAUUCUAUCUGGUUGAAAAGAAAGUAAAAUAUGACUAACUUCCAACUGGGAAUUUACACACUUGAAAAUGAACAGCCAGAUGCUUAAGACCUUAACACUCCAAAACCAAAUCAAUUUUUCUUUCUGCCAAUGAUAUCAAAGGACUGGGUGAAUUCACCCCAAGUGCUAGAGACUCAAAUCUAUGUUAGUUUAUUUAGAAACAGUACAAAUGCAACCAAAGGAUUUUAACUAUGCUUAUGGCUUAGGGUCCAGCUAAAAAUUUUUGUAACUCUCAUAUUCUUUAAAUGAACAUAGUGCCUAUAUAAACCUGGGCAGUGUUCUAUGAAGGGAAGCCAUUUAAUAACUCAUGUUGCAUUAAUUAGCAGAUGUCUUGAAAACUUUCAGAAAACAAAACAAAAAGGCUAGAUCCUGAAUCUCACAGACUUUCUUUUUUAAUACAGUCUUUUGUUUCAAUGGGAAGAAGGGACCACAAAUUAAGUUCCAAACCAGUUCAUAACACUGGACACUAGAUCACUGAAAGGACAGAAAAUAUUUUAGUCAAGCACAAUCUCUGGAAGAUUUUUUUUAGUUCAUCCUUCAUGUUCGAGCACCAUCACCUCUUAGUUGUUGAUCUAGCAACUGGGAUUUCCUUCUCACUAACUGAACAGGCUUAGAUAAUAGUAAGUACCCACUGCUAUAGGCAGGGUUAUGUUUGGAAAAUAUGAAUUUUUUUACCAAAGAACUUUGUAAAGCAUCCAGAAGCCUUGAAUGUUUGGUAUAGGGGAGAAAAAUUUCGAGGUAAUAAUAACUGCAAUAAAAAAUUUUAGUGGAGCAUUAAUAUAUGGCAGACAAUACUUCCCAUGCUUUAUCUAUAUUAUUUUGCCUAAUCUGCACAACAACUUCAUGUUGUAGUUAGUUAUUAUUCCUGCUUUAUGCUUAAGAAAAAUUAGGCACAGAAAGGUUAAGUGACUUGCCCAAAGCCACACAGCUAGUGAUUCAUCCAUUAAUUCUGAGAAUUUCUGGGCUAAUAAUCCUUAUCAUAUCUUCUUUUCAGAGAGGUCUCACAAUUCUACCCAAAUUAUCUUGUUCAUGAGCAAACAAAAGGAUCUGUCUUUUGUAAUGCAAACUGCUCACUAGAAGCUGACAAAUCCCACUUCUAAAUUUUGAAAGUUUCUGGAUCUAGAUCUGCUAAUAUGAGGCCUUAAGUCACAGGCUAACUCUCAAAGGCAUAAGGAAAAAAUUUCUCAACCUAAGACAACAAAGCUAAUAAAUACCAAAACCAAAUCAAAGUGAAAAUUUUUGGAACUAUGUUAGCAAAAAUAUGAAGUAGAUUUUGAUAUGUUAAGCUAAAGAUGGGAAAUACAAGAGCAAUCACUAAGAAAGCAACACAAAACAUAGUAAAAAUCAUUGAAACAAUGGAAAAAGUACACUAGAAAAUAGCCAUUCAAGACAACGAUAGAUAGUUAAAGAGGAACAUAGAACAAAAACGGUCAUGAGCCAUAUAAAAAACAAAAUGCAAUAUAGUAUACAAAAUUAAAAACAUAUCAAUAAUAACAUUAAAUAGGAUAGUUUGAACAAUCCAACCAAAAAGCAACUAAAAGAUUAUAAAACUGAAUUUAAAAACAAGAUCUAGCAAUAUUCUAAAACAUACACUUUAGAUCAAAGACACAAAUAGUUUGAAAGUAAAAAGGUAAAAAAAGACAUCUCACAAAAAGACCAAGAAACAAAAAAGAAGCUAGAGUGGCUACACUAAUAUCAGAUAAAGAAGACAAGACAAAAACCUUUCCCUAAGAAUAAAAAGGGAUAUUUUAUAAUAAUAAUAGUCAAUCAAUCAUAAAUAUUUUUAUGAUUAUAAACACAUAUGUACCCAUACACAGAGGCACAAAAUAUAUGAAGCAAUAAUUAUAACUUCCAUAAUUCAAGGCAGAAAUAAACAUUUCAAUGAUAAUAGUUGGAGACUUCAACACUUCACUUUCAGGAACUUUCAGGAAUAAUGACUAGUGACUAGUCAGAAGGACAGGGAUAUAGAAUAAUUGAAAAAUACUAUACACCAACUAGACAUAAUAGAACUAACAUUUCUAUAAAAUGCCACACUCAACAACAGUUAAUAUACAUUCUUUUAAAGUGCAAAUGGACUAUACUCUAGGAUAGACAAUAUGCAGGGCAUAAAACAUACCUCAAUAGAUUUAACAGUAUUAAAAUCCUACGAAGUAUGCUGACAGUUCCCAUUGGAAUUAAAUUAGAAAUCAUCAACAGAAAAAAAUUAGUACUUUAUUUAAGGGUGCAUAUUAAACAAUACACUCCUAAAUAAUAGUAGGUCAAAAAAGAAUCGUGACAGAAAAAGGAAAAUACUUUAAUAUGAAUAAACAUGAAAAAUCAUACCAAAACUUCUUAUAAUUGAAGUAUAGUUGAUUUACAAUAUUAUGUUAGCUUCAGGUAUACAAGAUAGUGAUUCACAAUUUAUAGAGAUUAUAUUUAAUGUAUCAUUAUUAUAAAAUAUUGGCUGUAUUCCCUGUGCUGCACAAUAGAUCCUUGUUGUUUAUUUAUUUUAUAUAGUAGUUUGUAUCUCUUAGUCCCCUACCCCUAUCUUGCCUCUCGUCCUUUCCCUCAUCCCACAGGUAACCACUAGUUUGUACUCUAUAUCUGAGAUCCUGUUUAUGCUUUGUUAUAAUCAUUCCUUUGUUUUAUUUUUUAGAUUCUACAUACAAAUGAUAUAAGUAUUUCUCUGACAUUUCACUAAGCAUAAUAACUUCUAGCUCCAUCUACAUUGUUGCAAAUGGCAGAAUUUCAUUCUUUCUAUGGCUGAGUAUUAUAUAUUAUAUAUAUGCCACAGCUUCUUUAUACAUUCAUUUGUUGAUAGUUACUUAGGUUGCUUCCAAUCUUGGCAAUUUUAAAUAAUGCUGCUAUGAGUAUUGGGGUCUAUGUAUCUUUUCAAAUUAGUGCUUUCAUUUUCUUUGGAUAUUUCUGGCUCAUAUGUUAGUUUUAUUUUAGUUUCUUGAGGAACCUCCAUUUUAUUUUCCACAGUGACUGCACCAAUUUACAUUCUCAUCAACAGUGUAUGAGGGUUCCCUAUUCUUCAUAUUCUCAUCAACAUUUGUUAUUUCUAGACUUUUUUUAAUGGCCACACUGGCGGCAUAUUGAAUUUCCCCAAUCAGGUACUGAAUCUGAGCCUCAGCUGCAACCUCAGCUGUGGCAAUGCUGGAUCCUUUAACCCUCUGCACGGGGCCAAGUGUCAAACACACACCUCUCCAGAGACCAGAGCCACUGCAGUAGAAUUCUUACUCCACUGUGCCACAGUGGGGACUCAUCAUUUGUAGACUUUUUUAUGAUUGCCAUUGUGAGAGGUGUGAGGUGAUAGCUCAUUGUGGUUUUAAUUUGCCUUUCUCUGAUGAUUAGUGAUGUUGAACAUCUUUUAAGGUGCCUAAUGGUCAUCUGUAUAUCUUCUUUGGAACAAUGACUAUCCAUGUCUUCUGCCCGUAUUUUUAAUUGUUUUUGUCUUUUUAGAGCUGCACCCACAGCAUAUGGAAGUUCUCAGGCUAGGAGUCCAAUCAGAGCUACAGCUGCCUACUAUGCCACAGCCACAGCAACACCAGAUCUGAACUGCGUCUGUGAUCUACACCACAGCUUAUGGCAACACAGGAUCCUUAACCCACUGAGCAAGGCCAGGGAUCAAACCUGCAACCUUAUUAUUACUAAUCAUAUUCAUUUCUGCUGCACCACAUCAGGAACUCCUGUUUUUUUGAUAUUGAGUUGUAUGAGAUGCUUAUACAUGUUAGAUAUUAACCCUUUACUGGUCACAUGAAUUGUAAAUAUCUUCUCCCAUUCAAUAGGCUGUAUUCUUGUUUUGUUUAUGGUUUCCUUUGUUAUGUAAAUAAUUUUAAGUUUAAUUAGUUUCCAUUUGUUUAUUUUUGCUUUUGUUUCCUUUAUUUUAGGAGACAGAGGUAAAAAACAUAUUGCUAUGAUUUACAUCAAAGAGUGUUCUGCCUAUGUUCCCUUCUAGAAGUUUUAUGGUUCCAAGUCUUCACAACAUACCAAAACUUACAUGAUAAGCAGUUCUUAGAAGGUAUUUUAUAGCUGAAAAUAACUACUUUCAAAAAGAAUAAAAAUCUUAAAACAAUCAAUAUCCUACCCUUUAACCUUAAGAAACUAAGAAAUAAAGAGCAAUCUAAACACAACCCAACCACAAGGAAGGAAAUGAUAAUAAUUAGAGCAAAUAUUAAUGAAAUAGAGAAUAGGAAAAUAAUAUUGAAAAAUCAAUGAAACUAAAAGUUGGUUCUUUGUCUAGAUCAACAAAAUUGGCAAAACUUUAGACUGACCAAGAAUAUAUAUAUAUAUAUAUAUACAUAUAUAUAUAUAUAUAUAUAUAUAUGACUCGUUACUAAAAAUUGGGAAUGAAAUGGUAAAUAUUACCACUGAUCUUACCAAAAAUAAAAAUUAUUAUAAGGAAUACUAUGAAUAAUUGUAUGCUCACAAAAUGGAGUAUCUAUAAUGAAGAAAUGAAACUGAGGACGAGGUCUAAGAUGAUGGAGUAGCAGGACAUAAGGUUCAUCUACUCCCAAAAUACAUUGAAAAUACAACUAUAUGUGGAACUACUGACACAGAAAAUUUGUGAAAAACUGAUAAAAGACCUCAAGAUUAUGAUAAAUAAGAAAUACACAUAGGAC